This 250-nucleotide ribosomal RNA is filed under the name uncultured bacterium. Its description in RNAcentral is "partial 16S ribosomal RNA". It matches the Rfam family "Bacterial small subunit ribosomal RNA", at positions 779 to 1025 of the family's 1533-position model. The record is from RNAcentral.
UAGAUACCCUGGUAGUCCUGGCUGUAAACGAUGAAUGCUAGGUGUGCGAGCAGAGAUGUUGGUGUGCCGCAGUUAACGCGAUAAGCAUUCCGCCUGGGGAGUACGGUCGCAAGAUUGAAACUCAAAGGAAUUGACGGGGGCCCGCACAAGCGGUGGAGCACGUGGUUUAAUUCGAUGCAAACCGAAGAACCUUACCUGGGUUUGACAUGUAUGUGGUAGGAGCCGGAAACGGUGACGACGCUGCUUUCGG